Lonchura striata (white-rumped munia) is the source of this 286-nucleotide non-coding RNA. The record is from RefSeq and is a predicted model, not a curated record. NCBI's taxonomy places the organism in Eukaryota, Metazoa, Chordata, Aves, Passeriformes, Estrildidae.
UCCGUGUAUCAAUCCUUUAAAAAAGAUAAGCAAAGAAGUACAGAAAAUUGCAUGGGAAAAAAGAGCUGGUGUUAAAAAGACUCACGAUGAAGAGAUUUGUCGCCACUUACUGGACUGACUUAAAGAACCAAAAGGACAAAAAAAGAAGGAAGAUCCACCUGAUCCUGAAGAUCAAGCAGAAGACACCAGGAUUGUUUGGCUAUCUCCUAGAAAAGGAUACGUUUUAUUUUAGCAUUGAAGCAAUGCAAAGUUGUUAACCCUUGAUAAUACUAUUGAUUUCUCAGUA